This 21-nucleotide non-coding RNA is filed under the name Arabidopsis thaliana (thale cress). Lineage: Eukaryota; Viridiplantae; Streptophyta; Magnoliopsida; Brassicales; Brassicaceae. The record is from RNAcentral.
UAAAGAACAGUUGCUAAUACA